AAUAUUACAUAUCUGUAAAAGGCAAUAGUAUGUAAUUCUGCCUUCACGUUCUGUUGUAAAUUUCCUAUUUCCCACUUGUGAAGUUCUGAUCACGAGCUUGUAGUAUUCAAGUGCUUUGUUGUCAGAAAGGAUAAAAUGUAGCAUCCCAUUGGUUGACAAUCAUAUAAAAAUUCACCGUGCUACAUAUGACGCUUGCUGACAAUUAUGGAAUUUCGGUCGAAUACAUGCUUAUUUCACAGCUCUUUAACCAUACAAUAUGCUUCAAAUGUUCAUUAAUAUAUAGCCUAUAAAUACACUACUUUAGCAACAAGAAUGUCACGAUCUCUAGCUGGAGUGCAUGUGAGCUUCAUUAGAGGGCACUCAUAUUCUAGACUUUUGCCAUUCACCCCGGACUACAUUCCCCAUGAUCCUUUGCCAGAAUCAUCAUCUAUUGCAUCACCUGUCUCUCAUUAGAUCUCAUCAGUUCACAGCUGUCUCACAUUAGAAGGACUUUAAAAGAUGCACACACAGUUGAGCACUCGGUUGGGCUGGAUCCGAGGAAGCGGCGUCAUUGUACGGAUUACGCUGCUAGCUACGUAGCUAGCUACGUGUUGGGAGGGUGAACGCGGCAGGUUCAAAUCAACGAUCGGUGUGAAAUUUGGAAAACGGAUUAUUAUAUUUAUAGGAAUCUUAAGGCGGUGGGGCAUGACUGUUCCGUGAAUGGAUCAGAGUCCUACCUGACCAGACCUGGUGGGCUUCUGUCCCGUCUGAUCGACUUUGGUGGUCUUCUGGUCAACCCUGGUGGGCUUCUGUCCGUCUGAUCGACUUUGGUGGUCUUCUGGUCAACCCUGGUGGGCUUCUGUCCCGUCUGAUUGACUGUGGUGGUCCUCUGCUCCGCCCAGGUGGGCAUCUGUCUCCUCUGCUCGGCUGUGGUGAUCCUCUGCCCCGCCCUGGUGGGCUUCUGUCCUGUCUGCUCUUCUGUGUUGGUCCUCUGCUCCACCCUCGUGGGCUUGUGUUUUCUAUGAAGUUAUUUUUGAUUCAAAACAACUGAACACCUGUGGCAGUGCGAUUUGUAGUUGUAGAGAAAAGCCACACAUGUGUAUCAGUAAAUUUGAAGUCACAGAGAGAAAUGUUUUAAGAGUUGCAAACCUGUAGAUUUUUUUCUCUCUCACAAACACAACACAACAGUUAC
This 1171-nucleotide long non-coding RNA is filed under the name Carassius auratus (goldfish). RNAcentral describes it as "lncRNA (ENSCARG00000002484.1)". The record is from RNAcentral. Lineage: Eukaryota; Metazoa; Chordata; Actinopteri; Cypriniformes; Cyprinidae.